AUUGAACGCUGGCGGCAUGCCUUACACAUGCAAGUCGAACGGCAGCAUGGAGAGCUUGCUCUCUGAUGGCGAGUGGCGAACGGGUGAGUAAUGCAUCGGAACGUACCGUGUAAUGGGGGAUAACGUAGCGAAAGUUACGCUAAUACCGCAUACGACCUGAGGGUGAAAGCAGGGGAUCGCAAGACCUUGCGUUAUACGAGCGGCCGAUGUCAGAUUAGCUAGUUGGUGAGGUAAAGGCUCACCAAGGCGACGAUCUGUAGCGGGUCUGAGAGGGUGAGCCGCCACACUGGGACUGAGACACGGCCCAGACGCCUACGGGAGGCAGCAGUGGGGAAUUUUGGACAAUGGGGGCAACCCUGAUCCAGCCAUGCCGCGCGAGUGAAGAAGGCCUUCGGGUUGUAAAGCUCUUUCGGCCGGGAAGAAAUCGCACAGGCUAAUACUCUGUGUGGAUGACGGUACCGGCAUAAGAAGCACCGGCUAACUACGUGCCAGCAGCCGCCGUAA
This 504-nucleotide ribosomal RNA is filed under the name uncultured bacterium. Its description in RNAcentral is "partial 16S ribosomal RNA". It matches the Rfam family "Bacterial small subunit ribosomal RNA", at positions 30 to 523 of the family's 1533-position model. The record is from RNAcentral.